AGCGAACGUUAGCGGCGGGCCUAACACAUGCAAGUCGAACGCGAAAGGUCUUCGGACUGAGUAGAGUGGCGCACGGGUGAGUAACACGUAGGUAAUCUACCCUUUGGCGGGGGAUAACGUUCCGAAAGGAGCGCUAAUACCGCAUAAGACCACGGAGUCUCCGGACGCUGUGGGAAAAGGUGGCCUCUUCUUGAAAGCUAUCACCGAAGGAUGAGCCUGCGUCCCAUCAGCUAGUUGGUAAGGUAAUGGCUUACCAAGGCGAAGACGGGUAGCUGGUUUGAGAGAAUGAUCAGCCACACUGGCACUGGAACACGGGCCAGACUCCUACGGGAGGCAGCAGUGAGGAAUAUUGGGCAAUGGGCGAAAGCCUGACCCAGCCACGCCGCGUGAGUGAUGAAGGCCCUCGGGUCGUAAAGCUCUGUGGAGAGGGACGAAAACCCUGGUUUCAAAUAGGCUCCAGGCUUGACGGUACCUCUUUAGCAAGCACCGGCUAACUCUGUGCCAG
RNAcentral lists this ribosomal RNA (505 nucleotides) under uncultured bacterium. RNAcentral's name for it is "bacterial SSU rRNA". It matches the Rfam family "Bacterial small subunit ribosomal RNA", at positions 29 to 511 of the family's 1533-position model. The record is from RNAcentral.